GCGCCCUUAGCUCAGCUGGUAGAGCAGUAGACUCUUAAUCUAUUUGUCCAGGGUUCGAGUCCCUGAAGGCGCA
RNAcentral lists this transfer RNA (73 nucleotides) under Oribacterium sinus. Its description in RNAcentral is "tRNA-Lys". It matches the Rfam family "tRNA". Rfam says of the family: Transfer RNA (tRNA) molecules are approximately 80 nucleotides in length. Their secondary structure includes four short double-helical elements and three loops (D, anti-codon, and T loops). The record is from RNAcentral. Lineage: Bacteria; Bacillati; Bacillota; Clostridia; Lachnospirales; Lachnospiraceae.